AGCCGAAACGGUGCUUCGGCACCGUCUGCCGUAGGUGGCGCUACGGUACUGAUGAGGCAGCUGACA
RNAcentral lists this non-coding RNA (66 nucleotides) under Thermoplasmatales archaeon SG8-52-4. Lineage: Archaea; Methanobacteriati; Thermoplasmatota; Thermoplasmata; Thermoplasmatales. The record is from RNAcentral.